GGCGUCACGACGAACGCUGGCGGCGUGCUUAACACAUGCAAGUCGAACGGGAUUAAGCUGGAAAGGCUUCGGCCCGGAAGGAUUAAUUCGAGUGGCGGACGGGUGAGUAACGCGUGAGCAACCUGUCCCAGACAGGGGAUAACACUUGGAAACAGGUGCUAAUACCGCAUAAGACCACGGGGUCACAUGGCCUUGGGGUAAAAGGAGCAAUCCGGUUUGGGUGGGCUCGCGUCCGAUUAGAUAGUUGGUGAGGUAACGGCCCACCAAGUCAACGAUCGGUAGCCGACCUGAGAGGGUGAUCGGCCACAUUGGAACUGAGAGACGGUCCAAACUCCUACGGGAGGCAGCAGUGGGGAAUAUUGGGCAAUGGGCCGAAAGCCUGACCCAGCAACGCCGCGUGAGUGAAGAAGGCCUUCGGGUUGUAAAGCUCUGUUAUAGGGGACGAAGGAAGUGACGGUACCCUAUAAGGAAGCCCCGGCUAACUACGUGCCAGCCGCCGC
RNAcentral lists this ribosomal RNA (500 nucleotides) under uncultured bacterium. Its description in RNAcentral is "bacterial SSU rRNA". It matches the Rfam family "Bacterial small subunit ribosomal RNA", at positions 28 to 518 of the family's 1533-position model. The record is from RNAcentral.